CCUCUUCUUCAUUCACAGCCACAGAAGACGACCUCUGAAGAUUCAACCAGAUCUAGAGAGAGAAGAAAGCGUAGAGAGCGAGAGAGAGAGAGAGAGAGAGAGAGAGAGAGAGUCUUCCGUUUUAAGUUCUAACCAGGCUUCAAGUGGUACGUUAUUCACUGCUCUGAGAGAGAGAGAAACAGAGAGGAACAUUCAGGAGGAGAGAGAGAAUAUACAGAUUUAGAGAGAGAAGUGUUGAGCACAGAAACGAAGCACUGAGGUGAAAGAAGGGGUUUCUUUGGCUUGGACAAGAACUUUUCAGGAACAAUCGGUCUGAUCCUAGCCGUUGAAGCUUCUGAUUCGGACCGUUGGCAUUUCUAUCUACGAACGCCGGUCGACGGUCGGCUAAUUGUCGUUCUCUGUUUGUGAUUUUCUCAGAUCUCGCUGUCUGCCUCUCGUACUCUGUUUAAAGAACGACCUGAUCUAUCAGUCCUGUGCAUUUUGGUUCUAGCAAUAUGCCUCCUCAGUCCUCAGGUUUACUUGUUGGGACAAGACAACCUCUGUGAAAUGAGUGGAUUCGGAAAAAAAUAUAGGUUGCGGUGAAUAUUCGUUCAUUCUUUUUGUUCGGAUGACGUACAUUUACAAUCCAUUCAAGGUUACGAACACAAUGACGACCGCAACCCCUUCUCUCAGUAACUGCUGCGACUGUGAAGUUUCAAUCAGGUAAUGCAUAUACAAUUAUUUGUAUAGAUCUGUAUUGAAUGGAGAAAACAAUACAAAAUUUGCAUUGUGAUUUUGUUUCGGAAGACUUCAACUCUUCAAUUGUAAUUUUAGGUUUUUUUUGUACUCCGAGUCGAGCUAUUCCGCCCAGAUCUUUACUUUUAUCGGCGGCUCCUAAUUGUAUGUGUAUAACACACAAUAAUUCAUUUGGAUUUGGUUUCAUUUUUUAUAUUUCAUCUGAAAUUGUAUGUACCCAAAUAUGAAUUUAAUUUGGGAUGUGGUGUUCUGAUCUCAUGUGUAUCAGUUUCACCACUGUGUGCGCGUACGUUGAGACUCAAGGACCACCUCAUCGGUAAAGGUAAAGGUGAGAAUAGAGAGAUAAUAUGUGAUAAUGUGUUUAGAAGGGGAGAUGCAGUGCUGUAGUCGGUAUAAUCCUUAUGUAGAGUAAAAAGAAAUUAUUCUGUAGCAGUUUCCCACAAUUUUCUCUCUGGUUUUUUUUUUUUUGUUUUUUUUUGGGCAUCUAGCAGGUGUCUCCUCUAUUAUUGAGUUGUCAUCUCAAAAAAAAAUGAGACCGACUUUAGGUUGUUGGAGCUCAAUCUCAUUAAUAUGUAAGUAAAAGCUGUAAAAGCUAUAAUGAUACAGUUAUAAUUGUUAUAACAUGUACUAUUGUAACUGUUUUUUUAAUUAAGAGAAAAAAUACACACUUUGGCA
Long non-coding RNA from Cornus florida, 1410 nucleotides. RefSeq lists it as uncharacterized. The record is from RefSeq and is a predicted model, not a curated record. The transcript is spliced from 6 exons. NCBI's taxonomy places the organism in Eukaryota, Viridiplantae, Streptophyta, Magnoliopsida, Cornales, Cornaceae.